GUCUCUGUGGCGCAAUUGGUUAGCGCAUUUGGCUGUUAACCAGAAAGGAUGGUGGUGCGAGCCCACCCAGGGACG
RNAcentral lists this transfer RNA (75 nucleotides) under Perca fluviatilis (European perch). It matches the Rfam family "tRNA". From Rfam's summary of the family: Transfer RNA (tRNA) molecules are approximately 80 nucleotides in length. Their secondary structure includes four short double-helical elements and three loops (D, anti-codon, and T loops). The record is from Rfam by way of RNAcentral. Lineage: Eukaryota; Metazoa; Chordata; Actinopteri; Perciformes; Percidae.